GAUGAACGCUGGCGGCGUGCCUAAUACAUGCAAGUCGAGCGAACAGACGAGGAGCUUGCUCCUCUGACGUUAGCGGCGGACGGGUGAGUAACACGUGGAUAACCUACCUAUAAGACUGGGAUAACUUCGGGAAACCGGAGCUAAUACCGGAUAAUAUAUUGAACCGCAUGGUUCAAUAGUGAAAGACGGUUUUGCUGUCACUUAUAGAUGGAUCCGCGCCGCAUUAGCUAGUUGGUAAGGUAACGGCUUACCAAGGCAACGAUGCGUAGCCGACCUGAGAGGGUGAUCGGCCACACUGGAGCUGAGACACGGUCCAGACGCCUACGGGAGGCAGCAGUAGGGAAUCUUCCGCAAUGGGCGAAAGCCUGACGGAGCAACGCCGCGUGAGUGAUGAAGGUCUUCGGAUCGUAAAACUCUGUUAUUAGGGAAGAACAAAUGUGUAAGUAACUAUGCACGUCUUGACGGUACCUAAUCAGAAAGCCACGGCUAACUACGUG
Molecule: ribosomal RNA, 497 nt
Filed under: uncultured bacterium
Lineage: Bacteria
Description: partial 16S ribosomal RNA
Rfam family: Bacterial small subunit ribosomal RNA
Source: RNAcentral